Long non-coding RNA from Helianthus annuus (common sunflower), 1112 nucleotides. RefSeq lists it as uncharacterized. NCBI's taxonomy places the organism in Eukaryota, Viridiplantae, Streptophyta, Magnoliopsida, Asterales, Asteraceae. The transcript is spliced from 2 exons. The record is from RefSeq and is a predicted model, not a curated record.
AAAAAGGUCACUUAAAUGUCCUCGCAUGCAUUUAAGUCAAUUCCCAUUGGUUUUCAAAAUUCUUAUCAUUAAAUUAUAAAAGCUCUAUCUGUGAAGAACCACCUGCAAGUAACCCAUCCCACCGCCAUCUUCUCCGGCGUCGUUCCCGCAGCCUAACACCAUCACCCCUGCUAUCACUUUCAACUCGUCGCCUUUUCUUCUUUUCUGUGGACUAAUUCAAAAUCCACCACCACCACCACCAUUCGUUUUAACUCCACAACAACCAUCAGUCCAUCACCGUUACCUUUCUUCUCCACAGAUCUGUGGUGGCGGUGGUUUCAGGUGGUCGCGAACCAUUUACAGGGGGCGGUGGUCUUAGGAGUUCGGGAACCAUUUACAGAGAGACACUUAGAUCCACCGGAGACGAAUGGCCGGAAAGUAGUUUCAGAAGGUCUGGAACCAUUCCUAGGGGCGGUGACUGCCGGAAAGUGAAUUUUGAAAGUGACGAAUGGCCGAAAAGUCGAUUCAAGUAUUUGGGUUUUGAAUUUCUUCUGCAUUUAUGGAAGCUGGAGAGGCUCCGUUGAUGCUGAGUAUAUGAAACUUCAUAUUGGGUGGUAGUGGCGGAUCUAGGAUUCCGACCAAGCGGGAACGUUUUAUAAAUAGGCGGUAACGAAAUCGAAAAAACGUCAAAUUUUUCCAAAAUUUACACUAAAAACGUCAAAAAUUUUCCGACCAAGCGGUAGCGGAGGCUACCCCUUGAUACAAGGUGCGUCCGCCCCUGCAGGGUGGUCAAGGAUAUGAGUCAGAUUUGCUGGUCGAAACUAAAUUCAUGCAUACGGACCAUAUGGUUGAUCUCAAGAAAGGAAGAUUGAGGUAUGCUUCACUGGGAUAAAGAUAAUGGAAGUGUGAUCUUCACGCCACCGAUGAAUAUCAUCGCAUUGUUAUCGUUGGUCGGUGGCGGUGUCUGCCGGAAAGUGAGGGUGUUAAGCAGGGCUGAAGUCAUGAAGAUGACAGCAUUCUGUUGAUAUAAAGAAAGUAUUAAAAUGAUAACUGAAAUGUCAUUUAUACCGUCACAUGCAUUGCAUGUGAAGGAAGUUAACUAAGAAAAUAAACGUGGUUAGUGUUAAAGGUUG